UCAAGCGAAUAAGUGCAUAUGAUGGAUGCCUUGGCGAUCACAGGCGAUGAAGGACGCGGUAGCCUGCGAAAAGCUACGGGGAGCUGGCAAACAAGCUUUGAUCCGUAGAUGUCCGAAUGGGGAAACCCACCGUAGUAAUACGGUAUCCCAUGCUGAAUACAUAGGCAUGUGGAGGCGAACCGAGUGAACUGAACCAUCUCAGUAACUCGAGGAAAAGAAAUCAACCGAGAUUCCGGAAGUAGUGGCGAGCGAAACCGGACCAGCCUGGAUGUUUUAGCGUAUUGAAUAGUCGAAUGGAAUGGAAAGUCCAGCCGUAGCAGGUGAUAGCCCUGUAGGCGAAAUUCAGUACGUGGAACUAAGCAUCGAACAAGUAGGGCGGGACACGUGAAAUCCUGUCUGAAUAUGGGGGGACCAUCCUCCAAGGCUAAAUACUCGUGAUCGACCGAUAGUGAACCAGUACCGUGAGGGAAAGGCGAAAAGAACCCCGGAAGGGGAGUGAAAUAGAUCCUGAAAUCGUAUGCAUACAAACAGUAGGAGCACCUUCGUGGUGUGACUGCGUACCUUUUGUAUAAUGGGUCAGCGACUUACAUUCAGUGGCAAGCUUAACCGAAUAGGGGAGGCGUAGCGAAAGCGAGUCCGAAUAGGGCGAUUCAGUCGCUGGGUGUAGACCCGAAACCAGGCGAUCUAUCCAUGGCCAGGUUGAAGGCACGGUAACACGUGCUGGAGGACCGAACCCACUAAUGUUGAAAAAUUAGGGGAUGAGCUGUGGAUCGGAGUGAAAGGCUAAACAAGCCAGGAGAUAGCUGGUUCUCUCCGAAAACUAUUUAGGUAGUGCCUCGUAUAUUACUGCCGGGGGUAGAGCACUGUUAUGGCUAGGGGGUCACAGCGACUUACCAACCCAUGGCAAACUCCGAAUACCGGCAAGUACAGUACGGGAGACAGAGCACCGGGUGCUAACGUCCGGACUCAAGAGGGAAACAACCCAGACCGCCAGCUAAGGUCCCUAACUAUGGCUAAGUUGGGAAACGAAGUGGGAAGGCAUAGACAGUCAGGAGGUUGGCUUAGAAGCAGCCAUCCUUUAAAGAAAGCGUAAUAGCUCACUGAUCGAGUCGUCCUGCGCGGAAGAUGUAACGGGGCUAAGCCAUAGACCGAAGCUGCGGAUGUGUACUUUUAGUACACAUGGUAGGAGAGCGUUCCGUAAGCCUGUGAAGGUGUUCCGUGAGGAAUGCUGGAGGUAUCGGAAGUGAGAAUGCUGACAUGAGUAGCGAUAAAGGGGGUGAAAAGCCCCCUCGCCGUAAGUCCAAGGUUUCCUGCGCAACGUUCAUCGGCGCAGGGUGAGUCGGCCCCUAAGGCGAGGCAGAGAUGCGUAGCUGAUGGGAAGCGGGUUAAUAUUCCCGCACCGUCGUAGAGUGCGAUGGGGGGACGGAUUGCAGAAUGUUAUCGGGGUGUUGGAUGUCCCCGUUGGCGCAUCAUAGAAGGCACUUAGGCAAAUCCGGGUGCGUAAUUCAAGGGUGUGACUGGAUAGAGCUUCGGCUCUAAACUAACUUGAAGCAGUUCCAAGAAAAGCCUCUAAGCUUCAGCUCUACGAGACCGUACCGCAAACCGACACAGGUGGACGGGAUGAAUAUUCCAAGGCGCUUGAGAGAACUCAGGAGAAGGAACUCGGCAAAUUAAUACCGUAACUUCGGGAGAAGGUAUGCCUCAUUAGUGUGAUGUGCCUGCGCACAAAGCAUGAAGAGGCCGCAGUGAAUCGGUGGCUGCGACUGUUUACUUAAAAACACAGCACUCUGCAAACACGAAAGUGGACGUAUAGGGUGUGACGCCUGCCCGGUGCCGGAAGGUUAAGUGAUGGGGUGCAAGCUCUUGAUCGAAGCCCCGGUAAACGGCGGCCGUAACUAUAACGGUCCUAAGGUAGCGAAAUUCCUUGUCGGGUAAGUUCCGACCUGCACGAAUGGCGUAACGAUGGCCACACUGUCUCCUCCUGAGACUCAGCGAAGUUGACAUGGUUGUGAUGAUGCAAUCUCCCCGCGGCUAGACGGAAAGACCCCAUGAACCUUUACUGUAGCUUUGCAUUGGAUUGUGAACCGGCCUGUGUAG
RNAcentral lists this ribosomal RNA (2097 nucleotides) under Alcaligenes phenolicus. Its description in RNAcentral is "bacterial LSU rRNA". It matches the Rfam family "Bacterial large subunit ribosomal RNA", at positions 3 to 2141 of the family's 2925-position model. Lineage: Bacteria; Pseudomonadati; Pseudomonadota; Betaproteobacteria; Burkholderiales; Alcaligenaceae. The record is from RNAcentral.